AAAGUUGGAGGAGGCAGAGAAGCUUGAUGGAGGAGGACGGAGAAUUCACGAGGUGGAGGAAGCGAGGUGGAGGAAGCUGAACGAACAGACAGCGGAAGAGGAGAGAUGAAAAGGCGGAGGAGGAGGCAUGACGCUCAAGUUUGCCAGCGGUGGAGAGAUCAACAAGAACAUGGCGGCCUCUAGAUUAGUGAUGAGAGGACGAGAUCUUUGUAAAAUCAGUUUUGAGUGAUGAGGUCUGACACGGAGGCCAAGCCGUGGACGUUAAUGGCAGCGUAGAAGCUGGAGAGAGCUUCAGAGUUCAGACACAGAUGUGGGAGCUGUUCGGGACGCAAUGUCGAUGGCUGUCUCCCACCACGCAGCUGCUUUUACAGACGGACUACAGGAUGUGAACUAUUGCCACCGAGUAAUGGUUGUUGGUUUCAAACUAUUGCCAGAAAGGUUUAUUCUUUGGACUGGACACCUGAGAUGAACCAGAUUGUCAGUGCAUCUCAACAAGACACACUCAGUUAGAAGAGAAAAGUGAUGGAAAAGGGAAAGACACAACCAAAGGGCCAAUUGAUAAAGUGCUGAAAAUGCAAUCGUUUAGAUCUUGAAAAGGUUUAUGUAUAAUAUAGAUACUGAAAAUGUGGGAGAUUGGCACAUUUCUCCAUUAGCGUUACUCCACAGUGGUCCUUUGCUUGAUUUUGAUCUUCUUCCAGGCUGUUGUUCUUCAAUGGCUGCCUUGAGUUUACCGUCUCUACCAAAUGUCCUUAUCUCAGACACUUGUGGAGAAGCUUAUGGUCUCUGUCAAAGCUCCAGAGCCUUUUCAACCAGAUAUCUUUCCAUACUUCACAGGCCAGGAAUCUAAAACAGAGACGCACAUAGCUACGAAAUGUUGUCUCUGAGACCCCGCAAAUGUUUGAGACAAACGACUGUUGUUAGUUUAUUUCACUAUGUAUCUCUACAGACUCAGCUUUGUAUUAACAAGCUUUUUCAUGAGAAGAACAAAUAUGCAUUUACAAAACAGCUUCCUUAUUGUUUUCAUAUUGUUAGAAACAUUGAAUACGUUCCUGCAA
Brassica napus (rape) is the source of this 1055-nucleotide long non-coding RNA. RefSeq lists it as uncharacterized. The record is from RefSeq and is a predicted model, not a curated record. The transcript has 5 exons. Lineage: Eukaryota; Viridiplantae; Streptophyta; Magnoliopsida; Brassicales; Brassicaceae.